CAUGACAUGAGCAGCUUUCCCGCACCAGGCCCUUUCACCACGCUGUUUCUGGGUCUGAGCCAGCCGACCAUGGACUGGGGCUUCGGAAAUAGGUCUCAGUGCUCGGCUUUGUCAUCCACGGUCAAGAAAUUCUCGUGGCUGAGUCUCAUGUUGGUCGGUGAUAGAGCACAGAGCGACCCCAUCUGUUGACAGCGUGGUUACACCUCUCAAAAACAGGAUUCAAAGAACCCUUAUUUGAAGGUGUGAAGUCAAAGCUGAUAAAAGGUAAAGACUUUCAUGCAGAA
Molecule: long non-coding RNA, 284 nt
Organism: Chinchilla lanigera (long-tailed chinchilla)
Lineage: Eukaryota; Metazoa; Chordata; Mammalia; Rodentia; Chinchillidae
Exons: 3
Source: RefSeq, a predicted model, not a curated record